GACGAACGCUGGCGGCGUGCUUAACACAUGCAAGUCGAACGGAAAGGCCCAGCUUUUGUGGGGUGCUCGAGUGGCGAACGGGUGUGUAACACGUGAGUAACCUGCCCUUGACUUUGGGAUAACUUCAGGAAACUGGGGCUAAUACCGGAUAGGAGCUCCUGCUGCAUGGUGGGGGUUGGAAAGUUUCGGCGGUUGGGGAUGGACUCGCGGCUUAUCAGCUUGUUGGUGGGGUAGUGGCUUACCAAGGCUUUGACGGGUAGCCGGCCUGAGAGGGUGACCAGCCACAUUGGGAAGAAGAUACGACCGAGAGUCCUACGGGGUGCAGCAGGGGGGAAUAUUGCACGUUGGGCGGAAGCCUGAAGCAGCAACGCCGCGUGCGGGAUAGCGGCCUUCGGGUUGUAAACCGCUUUAGCCUGUGAUGAGGCGUGAGGAAAGGUAAUGUGUAGUGAAACAGCGGCUUGCUAAGUG
RNAcentral lists this ribosomal RNA (468 nucleotides) under uncultured bacterium. RNAcentral describes it as "partial 16S ribosomal RNA". It matches the Rfam family "Bacterial small subunit ribosomal RNA", at positions 28 to 507 of the family's 1533-position model. The record is from RNAcentral.